This 145-nucleotide ribosomal RNA is filed under the name Oenococcus oeni. RNAcentral describes it as "partial 16S ribosomal RNA". It matches the Rfam family "Bacterial small subunit ribosomal RNA", at positions 1 to 121 of the family's 1533-position model. Lineage: Bacteria; Bacillati; Bacillota; Bacilli; Lactobacillales; Lactobacillaceae. The record is from RNAcentral.
UUUUUAAAUUGAGAGUUUGAUCCUGGCUCAGGAUGAACGCUGGUGGCGUGCCUAAUACAUGCAAGUCGUACGCUAGCCGCUGAAUUGAUCCUUCGGGUGAAGUGAGGCAAUGACUAGAGUGGCGAACUGGUGAGUAACACGUAAG